RNAcentral lists this small nuclear RNA (105 nucleotides) under Castor canadensis (American beaver). The record is from RNAcentral. Lineage: Eukaryota; Metazoa; Chordata; Mammalia; Rodentia; Castoridae.
CUGCUCACUUUGCCAGCACAUAUGCUAAUUGGAAUAAUACCAAGAGGAUUAGCAUGGGUCUUGCACAAGGAUGACAUGCAAAUUCGUGAAGCAUUUCAUAUUUCU